UAAAAUCCAAAUGUCUCGAAAAAUCGAUUUCGUUGGUGAUAUAUCCCAUUCGAAAGAAAAUUGGAAUAUCAGGCUUCGAAGUAUUAGGCUUUGGUUUGUGAGAGAUAUGAACAAGGAAAAACUGUCUCACUCAUUGCAAAUAGUUAUAAUAGAUAAUAAAGUUGUUUGACACCAUUUUUGUUAUCUUUUUAUAUCCACUUUUAUAUUAGAUAAUUUGUUUCUUUUUUGUUCAUCCAUUUGUUUCUUUUCAUAAUUUUUUUGCUCAAUCGAAUAUGAUACCGUUGAAUUCGUUUAUGAUGUCUCCCAUUCACAUAAACAAACUUUGAGUAUCAAUGGUCGAAUCAUCUAUAUCUAUAUUUAUCUAUAUCUAUCUAUAUCUAUAUACUAUACAUUUGAGGGUUUUCCUCAUAUAUGUAUAUAUAGAAAUAAAUUUCUCACCAAAGCAUUCUAACGACAUGUGGUUUCAUGGACUAAACUCAAGCUUCUCAUGCAUUUCCCCAUAAAUGCUAACCUAAAUUGAC
This 521-nucleotide long non-coding RNA is filed under the name Medicago truncatula (barrel medic). RNAcentral describes it as "long non-coding RNA (MTRU_LNC001361)". The record is from RNAcentral. Lineage: Eukaryota; Viridiplantae; Streptophyta; Magnoliopsida; Fabales; Fabaceae.